Molecule: small nuclear RNA, 166 nt
Organism: Peromyscus maniculatus bairdii (prairie deer mouse)
Lineage: Eukaryota; Metazoa; Chordata; Mammalia; Rodentia; Cricetidae
Gene: U1
Rfam family: U1 spliceosomal RNA
About the family: U1 is a small nuclear RNA (snRNA) component of the spliceosome (involved in pre-mRNA splicing). Its 5' end forms complementary base pairs with the 5' splice junction, thus defining the 5' donor site of an intron.
Source: Ensembl
AUGCUUAUCUGAUAGGGGAAAGACUACGAUCACAAACAUAGUUCCUAGGGUGAGGUCCAUCCAUUACACUCUGGGUGUGUUGACCCCUUUAAUCUCCCCAAAUACAGUAAACUCAACUCCACAAUUUGAGGUAGUGAGAGGCAGCCAGCAUUCAUGCUCUCUCUGU